UACGUAGGGCGCAAGCGUUGUCCGGAAUUAUUGGGCGUAAAGAGCUCGUAGGCGGCUUGUCACGUCGGGUGUGAAAGCCCGGGGCUUAACCCCGGGUCUGCAUUCGAUACGGGCUAGCUAGAGUGUGGUAGGGGAGAUCGGAAUUCCUGGUGUAGCGGUGAGAUGCGCAGAUAUCAGGAGGAACACCGGUGGCGAAGGCGGAUCUCUGGGCCAUUACUGACGCUGAGGAGCGAAAGCGUGGGGAGCGAACAGG
RNAcentral lists this ribosomal RNA (253 nucleotides) under uncultured bacterium. RNAcentral's name for it is "partial 16S ribosomal RNA". It matches the Rfam family "Bacterial small subunit ribosomal RNA", at positions 524 to 776 of the family's 1533-position model. The record is from RNAcentral.